RNAcentral lists this ribosomal RNA (405 nucleotides) under uncultured bacterium. RNAcentral describes it as "bacterial SSU rRNA". It matches the Rfam family "Bacterial small subunit ribosomal RNA", at positions 917 to 1322 of the family's 1533-position model. The record is from RNAcentral.
GGGCCCGCACAAGCGGUGGAGCAUGUGGUUUAAUUCGAUGCAACGCGAAGAACCUUACCUACUCUUGACAUCCAGAGAACUUUCCAGAGAUGGAUUGGUGCCUUCGGGAACUCUGAGACAGGUGCUGCAUGGCUGUCGUCAGCUCGUGUUGUGAAAUGUUGGGUUAAGUCCCGCAACGAGCGCAACCCUUAUCCUUGUUUGCCAGCACAUAAUGGUGGGAACUCCAGGGAGACUGCCGGUGAUAAACCGGAGGAAGGUGGGACGACGUCAAGUCAUCAUGGCCCUUACGAGUAGGGCUACACACGUGCUACAAUGGCGUAUACAGAGGGCUGCCAACCAGCGAUGGUGAGCGAAUCCCAGAAAGUACGUCGUAGUCCGGAUUGGAGUCUGCAACUCGACUCCAUG